AGAAGCCGAACCCGCGAUAGAAAAGCCUCAGUCCUGGGGAGGUCUUGACGGGCUGAGCUGCUAGAGAGAGUUUCGCGUCGUAAGGAAAGCAAGUACCUGCCCAUGUACGGAAGUGUCGGCGGGAUCCUGGAGGCGAUGCCUUUUUUAAGGAUGCACGGGGGACCAAGGGAAGGGGAAGUUUUCCCAGAAAGCUCUCUAACUCAGAAUGCCCACCAUCCAUACUCUGGAGGACAAAGACGGCCGUUCGCCAGUGUCUGUAAGCAUUUGACACGUGGGGACACGCAACGCUGCACUUCAGGGCAGCUGCUCAUGGGAUUUAGUUUUACUGUCCUUGUGGAUACCCAUGGAAUGCUAGCUCGUCACCUAGAUUCUAUUAGAACAUCAACAAUGUCAGCCAUCGCAUCUGCCUUUUAGAAACUCGUUGUGCAGGAUUUUAAAAUUGUAUUAUAUUCCAUACAUACUGGGAAGAAUGAAGAAUGAUAUAUAAACACUGUGUAUCCACUCCCAGCUUUAUCACAUCUUAACAUUCUGCCAUAUUUACUUCAGAACUUUUCAUGGAAACAAGUCUUUGGGUUAGUUGACUUUUUCCUCUUAUUUAUUUUGAGAUGAGUUGUGGUGGAAUAGAGACUAGAAUCAAAUUAUAUUAAUUUCUGAAUUAUAUAAAUCAGUUUUUAAGUUUUAGCUUAACUUUGUUCAGCAAAAACUUCAUUUUUGUUUAGCAAGAUCUCCUAUAUGUUUUUGUCACUUCUAUUUAUAACACAUUCAAUAAAGGAGUGAUAAUUUUCCACAAAUUCAUUGAAGGGUAGGAGUGGGGGCAAAUGUAGGACUAAUAGCACCAUCCCAUGGCAUAAGAUUUAAAUUUCUUAUCUUAUUGAUACUUUAUGUCACCUCCCCUUUCACUGAUGAUUUCAGUUUUGAAGCACAAAUUUAUUUCAGUCCAUCUAAAAUUAUCCAAGGGGACUGCUAAAGUUAUGUCAAUUAGUAACAUUUUCUGGAAUAACUGACAGAAUUAUAUAAAAGUCACCGAAGUACUAGAAGGCUUUUUCAGAUUGUGUGUGUGUCCCGUUUUUUGUUGUUGUUAAAGUAAACUAUCUAUUGAACAAUCAGAAAAUCCUUGUCAUCCUUCUCUUUAAUCAGUGUUCCUUCUCUUUAGUCUAUCUUCUUGUUUAAAGGAUACAGGGCUCUCUUUGCUUCAGCCCUAUGCAUCUGGUUUGCUUUUCACUAUUACAUGGCCUCCCUUCAGCCACAGAACCCAUUUUAUAACCUGACCAUUUAAAUUAUGUAUUUUUUAAAAUUUAUCUUUGUGAGAUCAGUUUCCCAGUGUUUGCAUAUUUAGCCACAGCUGCAACCUGAUCAGGUAACAGAACAUGGUUCUGAAGGGUUUUCAAUCUCUGAUUGAUCCUUUUAGGAAUUCUCCAGAGACUAUUAUUGGAAAUCUUUAGAGAUUGAGUCACCGUCUCCUUUCCAACUCUUCUUAGACUUUUUUCCUCUUAUUCCUUCAAUCCAUGUCACUGUCAUUUGGGCUUUUUGUUAAUUUCUUCUUUUCUUGAACCUUCCUUUUGACUGGUGCUUUCAUUUAGACUGCUGCUACUUUUGCAUCUCCUUCUCUUUCUAUUCCACUUUCUCUUCCUCUUUCCCCUUAUGAAGUGGAAGCUGAAGUGGUGGUCUUCAUUCUCUACCGGUAUAUGUUCAUCAGAAUAUGCGUCAGGAGUCUUUGAGGAGAGUCUCCAGAUGUUGGGAGCUCACUUCUGCAAUCCUUUCUCUCAGUAGAGGCUUUCUCCUUGCCUGUGAGGUUAAGCCACAGCUUGUCACCCAGGUGGGGACUUGAAUAGCCUUUGUAGGAUGUGGCAAGAGAGAAGAAAGUGCCCCAGAGCCCAGAAGGCCACUUUCACUUCUGGAGCGAGGGCAGUGGAAGUUGUCUUCUAUGACAGUAUGUUUGAAAAUAUUGAUGACAUGAAAAAGUUAAUAAAAACUACAUGACUUACUAAAAUUGACUUAAGAAGGAAUAGAAGAUCUGGAUAGUUCUACAAUCAACAAACAAAUGGAAUCCAUAGUAUAAAAUCUUCCCAUACCAAGCAAACAAACAAAAAACACUGGCCCAGAAACUUAUAGAUGAGUAAUUUGCAGGAAUCACUUACUGCUAGUGCUUGAUAUUUCCUUCUACAUGGAAGGAAAUGUAUUGGUGUGGCAUAACUGGCCUCUUUCUGGCCUUCUCACUUAUCCCCAGAGGAAAAGGAACAGUUUAUCCAAGUAAUGAGUUUGGGAGAAAGCUUUGAAUGUAUGAGGCCUAGCCUCUUUGCAAUGAGAAAGUACAUGAGUGAUCUUAGCAGUUAAGCCCCUGGCCUUACAGAUUAGACCUGUCUGGGUGGGUGAUCUUUCUAGAUCUGGGACAGUA
Molecule: long non-coding RNA, 2395 nt
Organism: Myotis brandtii (Brandt's bat)
Lineage: Eukaryota; Metazoa; Chordata; Mammalia; Chiroptera; Vespertilionidae
Exons: 3
Source: RefSeq, a predicted model, not a curated record